AGGGUCGGCAGACUAAAGCACAUAAGUCAAAAAUUUCAAUUUAUUUUUUAUUACAUCAUCGGUUUACAUUUUGCUCAAUGCACAAUCUGACUAAAGCACAUAAAUCAAACUCAAGUAUUUCAUGGCGUAUUCAAGCGGCGUUCUGUAUCAACCUUAUCAAAUCCUAAUAUAGUCAAACGAACUAAAAAACAUAACUGGACUUAUGUUCUAAGGAACACCAUAAGUACAAAGUUAUUAACGUAAGAAGUCUGACUUAUGUUAUAAAGAACAUCAAAAUGUAACAUUUCUUUAGAGAAAGUGGUUACUUAAAAAUAUUUAUAACGUAAACAAUACUUCGAUGAAUAUUCAAAGAGGCAAGAAAUUAGUUGAAAUGGCGUCAUCCACUAAUCUGGAAAGCAAUGAAGGUAUAUUUUCACAUAUCUUCAAAAUUAUGAUUUGCAAAUUACGUAAUUAUAUCAAUAUUAUAUCAUUAUAAAUAGAUAAUUAAUUGUCUUGUCCUUUUUUAGAAAAUGUAAAUCAACAGUCGAUUUUGAACACAGAGUUCUAGUAGAACCUAGUAGUAGACGAUCCUAUACCGUCGACAUCAUCAGGUCAAGUCAGUAGCUUAACAUACUAUUCUGUACUUGACUUCUCUAGUGAUGAUUCUGUACGAUAUCCAUGUUAUGAAUUACCGAGACUUCCAACCACAUCAAGUUCAAGUACUUGUGAUGAAAUUUCAAUGAAUCCUAAUGUGUCUCCAAAAAAGAGUAUACGUACUAUAAAAAGAGAAAAAAGAAUAAAACGUAACUUAGGACAGGCAUACAAAACUUUAAAAGGAAAAUGUAUAUCAGAUCGCACUAUGAAUUAAAAAAAUUUUUUGAGAAAAAACAAAAAAAAAAGCCCGCUGAGUUUGUUUCGCCGGUUCUUCUCAGGACUGUGGCUUUUUUUGGAACCGGUGGUAGAGAUAACAUUGUUAUUUAUAUUUUGACAUUCAAUAAGUGUGUUAUACUGACAUCUAAGUUGAAAUAAAUGAUUUUGAAUUUGAAAGAGUUACCUGUUUGCAGAAUGAAAUGUAAAGAACGUAUACCAUUAACUGAUAGGCGUGCCAUAUUUACAGAAUAUUGGCAAAUGGGGUCAUAUGCAAAAAGAUCUGCAUACUUGGCGUCUUUAAUGGAAAUUCAAGAUAAAUCUAAACAAAGAAUACGAGAUAUUGAACCUGAAAAGCAAAAGCUUAGAAUGAAGACAUAAAAAUACUUUUUUACUGUGCAUGGUAAAGGUGAACCUGUCUGCCGAGGAUGUUUAAUGAAACCGUUAGAUGAAAGUGACAAUUUUAUAAAGACAGUUGCUAUGAAAAGGAGAUCAUCCAUUGGGGGUUCUCAAACUGAUGAUAUAAUAUCUAUACAGCCAUUACCCAUAUUCAUCGAGAAAAAAAAUUAUUUAAUUUCGCUGCUCCCUUUAAUACUAGAUAUUUUCCAUGAAUUUUACAUAAGUCUUCCCACGUUGGAAACUUUACGAAAUACUGAUCCAGAUAUUUAGAAGAAGAAGAAUAAUAGAAUAAGAAGAAGAAUUUUAAUUAAACAUUGAGUUGUUAUUUAUAUUUAUGACUUAUAUUAUUAUAAUAUAUAUCUUAAUUGUUGAUCUUUUUCACUUAACUCAUACUAUUAUUGUGUUCCUUAUAACUUAAGUCAUCUAAUUAUUAAAUAAUCACAUUUACUUUAAAAUAUUUAAUUUUAAUAAUAAGUUAGUGUUAUAGACUUAUAUAAUUCAAAUAAACAUUAUUAAGUUUGUUAAUGUAUAAGAUU
Bombyx mori (domestic silkworm) is the source of this 1781-nucleotide long non-coding RNA. RefSeq lists it as uncharacterized. NCBI's taxonomy places the organism in Eukaryota, Metazoa, Arthropoda, Insecta, Lepidoptera, Bombycidae. The transcript has 2 exons. The record is from RefSeq and is a predicted model, not a curated record.